UUUUGUAAUCCUUCUGGCUGUCAGUUUACCACUCUCACAGGGAGAUGUAUGUGGAUACGGAUGCUCUCAGCGCUACUCAACGUCGUGUGGAUUUCUUGGCUGGGAUCGCUGUACCAGACACAGGGUUGCACCCUGUAAGCGCCGUGGACGGCUCCUACUAGACUGCGCAUGUAUGUUUCUCUGCGAGUCGCUCCCAUUUUCCACCGGUGGAAAAUGAGUGCGCCCUCUUGUGACUCAACAGUACAGUGACCGCGCUCCACGAAACUUGCAGCCAAUCAGUGAUAAGGCAAGGGAAAGGUCGAACAAUCCAAUCACAUUUUAAAAAGGGGGCGGGGUUUUAGGACAACUAAUUAGUGUAAGUGAGAUAGUGUGAGUAAUGCUAAUCAGCACUAAGGGAGAUUGGAAUCAGCACUGUCGCCACUGACAGACCGGUGCUGAUUGGCCAGGGGGAUGCAUCGGUAAAACCGCUCGGAUGACAAAGGUCUGUAACAAUACGUUAUAUUUUGGGGUUGCCUUUGCA
Patiria miniata (bat star) is the source of this 520-nucleotide long non-coding RNA. RefSeq lists it as uncharacterized. NCBI's taxonomy places the organism in Eukaryota, Metazoa, Echinodermata, Asteroidea, Valvatida, Asterinidae. The transcript is spliced from 3 exons. The record is from RefSeq and is a predicted model, not a curated record.